This 1846-nucleotide long non-coding RNA is filed under the name Scophthalmus maximus (turbot). RNAcentral describes it as "lncRNA (ENSSMAG00000028604.1)". Lineage: Eukaryota; Metazoa; Chordata; Actinopteri; Pleuronectiformes; Scophthalmidae. The record is from RNAcentral.
UGCGUGUGUGUGUGUGUGUGUGUGUGCAUGAGGGACAAAGACAGAGAGAGGUUACUUGAUGCUUUGUGUCAUGGUGUCAGGUGGCAUCAGCCUGUAGAUGGGAAGAUAAAAAUGAAAGACAAUCGAUAUCCGAGCACUGAAAUUGUUCUCAUCUGCUGCCGCCCUCUUGCACUACAUGUGUCCACGCACAUCUGCUGCUCUACCAUGUGGAAAACGGUUUGACUCGUAAACGAGAUGUUAUUCACAAAGUGAUGCCGUUGUACUGCUUUAAUGUCUGAUGCUGAAGUCAAAACGCAUGAAAAAGGAAAUGAUGUUGUGAAUGUGAAUUUUAAGCACAAACCAGUUACAGUUUGUUUCUCUCAAUGCGAUUGUAUUUUCCCUGUUAUAUCACAAAUGCUGCACAAGAAGCACAAUGAAUUAAUAAAUAACCACUUGGUUGUGUUUUCUAGGAGAAAAACAUUGGCCGGUCCGCUCCCAGAGUCACCAUGGUCCCCAUCAGCACAACUAUAACCAUGUGGCUCUAGGUAGCCCCACACGCACACCUAAGAAUGGUAAGACAAACCAGUGGGAGGAGGGAAUGUUCGAACCAAUCCACAGCUCAGUUCAGUGUUUGAGAGGAAGCCUGGACCCUGGGCGGUAACUUGAGGAUAGUGCUCGACGUGGAUGUGUGAAGAAAACCCUCGGCGUCGUCCUCUUUUCAAGUGGCACGGCUGCGACGCUGUUCUGUUAUUGAAAAUACAGGCGUUCCUUUUUAUUUGCAGAGGAGUAACACCCCAUAGUCACUUUUCUUCCAAAGAGAAUGCAAUUGGCCGAAGGUCAACUUAACACCGUGUUGAGGUCAUGGUCGGCGGAGCAUGUGUAACCUGUAAUGACCCCUGCUGUUUAGCUCUCGAACCAGAGUUAUCACCCCGACUUCAAACCCCUUGCGAGGAGCAUCACAUGAAUCCGUAUUUUCUUACUGACGUCAUACAGCGGUUUGCUCAGAAUAAUUCUCACGAGGGAGCUGAGUAGUGGUUAUAUGAGCCUUUCACAGACAUAUCAGCAUUUGCGUUCAUGUGUGCGGAUAAUGCGCCACUAUGACAACUUUUAUUUCACAGACUGAACAAAGCAAAAUGUGCAUUUUAAUAUAAUGAUAUUUAUUAUGUUUUUUUUUUAUUAUUUUCACUUAUUUGAAAGAAAGUUGAUGGUUAAAUUCUCAAAUAUCAAGCCUCAAUUACAAUGCUUUGUCAUAAGGGUUUGAUAACAACAUAGGAAUCCUUUUUUUUUUUAUAUGUCAAUAUAUUGAUAUGAGAAAUGUUUUACUCCCUAAUGUCCAUAUUGGUCAGGCUCUAUAAGUGGUUACAUUAGUCCUCUAGGUGGAUGCUGGAGAGAGGAAAGACAGAUGAAAGGGAGGAGGCGACAAGUUGAAUAUUCGCUGUGCUUCUUAAAUCAAUCCGAUCUUGGAAUUUGAUUCGUAGUCUGUUUGUUUGAACCCUAAACCACAUCUUUGGAGAAAAGCAGUGGAGAACCAUGGAAAUCAGGAAAAAUCCAUUUUUAACAACACAUACAACACAGAUACUUUGAUCGUAGGCUUCAAAUUUCAGAACGCUGCAUAUAUAUAUAUAUAUAUAUAUAUAUAUAUAUCUACUUGCAUAAUUGUACACAAGUCUGCACAUCAUAUGUCUCUGGAAGUAAAAGCUGGGGUUUUUCAUACUGAGCGAUGCUGAAUAUGGAGUAGGUUUGUGUAGUUCUUGUUUUUCUCAGCAUCAACAUGUUUCUGAAAUAUUUGUUUUUUCACUUGGGUUUGGUAGCUCACCGAUCACUGAGACGUGGUAAGUCAUACAGUACAUAUGUUUAAUUUAGUGUA